This 1690-nucleotide long non-coding RNA is filed under the name Mytilus galloprovincialis (Mediterranean mussel). The record is from RNAcentral. Lineage: Eukaryota; Metazoa; Mollusca; Bivalvia; Mytilida; Mytilidae.
AUUCAUAGUCAGAUAUCAUUACACGCUUCAGAUGGGCAAGCCAGCAUAUAAAUUCAUCAAACCUGUGUAUGUGCCUCACAGAGAAAGUGUCACGUGGUUUACUUGAAUGUUUACAAACACAAGUUAGUCACCACGUGGCGCUAAUUUCUGUCAAGGCUGGCUUUGUUUAUGUGUAGGCCACUACGGGUUCUACGAAUGAAGACGGCAGGGGCAUUGGUAUAUAAAUAAGAGCAAUUAGCUCGUGCAAGCAUAAUUCAAAACAUAGAAUAGGGCAAUAGUGUUCAAGAGUAAUUAAUAAAGGUAAGAAACCGCAUUUUUAUUAUAUUCAAAAUGUUUUAUUUAUGGCAAAUAUAUCAGUAUUGAAAUUUUUAAAUUACAAUUUUAUGCUUUUAUCAUCAAUGACAUCAAUCUAGUAUUGGACACUAAUUUGUGCCACCAGAAAAAUUUGGUCGAUUAUUUCAAACUAGUAAACACAGGUGUGAGUCCAGGAUUUUGCUGUCGUUGAAAAGGGGUGCUCUUAGCAAAACAACAUUAGAAAUGGGUCAAGAAUAGAAUAAAACAGGAAAUAUGAAUAGUAUAGAUAGCUCCGUAUGGAACAGGGCUUGUCCCCUGUCCUCUAUCCUAGUAUCUGUCAUUUACAUGUAUCAUUUCUUGAGAAAUGCAAAAACAUCGAUAAUCCGGUAAACAGAAAAAUGUUUAUGUUUCUGUUUUAUAUGGCGUCUUGUAAUCGCGGCUAUAUUAUAUUUUUUUUAUGCGUUGACAUCUUUAUAAGACUUCGACGUCCGAGGCAUCACCUCAAAAUUAAAACAAUUUGACAAAAUAAAAAAAAUAAUUGCCGCUUUUCAAAUAUACAAAAUGUAAGUAAUACUGCUAUAUUUUUCUGUGAAAUGCAUUUUUGUCUCGUCAAUUAUAUUGUUCAUUUAUUUCAUUUCAGUGAGUUAAUCAUGGAGAAAAAAGAAAUGAGGGAUUUUUUGGGAACAACCACCCAUUUUAAUCCUGCUAUGAAUCAAGUCAACCCAGAUGAUGCUUCUAACGCAAAAUUCAAUUUAAAAGGUGCACAUUUUAUGGGAGCUAAUCUCCAGGCUGAGGUCAGGACGCAUGAAAAUGUGAAUAUUUGAUCAAAAAUUUAGACGCACGAGAUCAGAAAGUUGUGGAAGUGAAGGAGAACCUUCAUCACCCAUUGGCUCACCAAUAACUACCCUACUACUCCAUACUGCCAUGCAAGCCCCAGGACAAUCAAUAGCAAACAGUCUAAAAAUGAAGGAGCUUAGACAUGAAUUUGAUUUCAAAUAAACAUUUCGUCCAAGAACUAAUUCUAGUCGGAUUGGUUGUUUUAAAAAGACUAUAGUGCUACCUCACGAGGGUAUAUAUGUGUACAUAUUGUAGUGAUCUCUCAUUGGUUUGAUUUUCCAUGAAUGAGUGCAAAGAUAUGACUGAUUGUUUGCGAUCAAAUCGCUAUCGUGGUGAUAAUAAAAUUGUGUUUAGUGUGCAUAAGGUCUCAUAAUGAUAUUUUUUGUAUACAAUAUUUUUUGUCAAAAAUAAAUUGUUCUACAAAGUUUCAGGAGUUUAACGAGUUAUAAUCAAGCCGCUGGCCUAGUUUUGCGGCAAGCGUGUGUUGUUUACAGUUUACAGAAUAAACUAGGUCAGUGUCCUUGAUGAUUACAAGUCACCUGGAAAGUAUUUAUAAAUC